UUGCCAUGUGUCCAUUCAUGCUAGGAAGGUUGAUUUAUAUGUCAUAUCAUAUGCCCCUCACGUUCGAGUCUGAGCCAUUUUCUUUGGCUCAAGCAAAAGAAGUAGUUGGAUUGCAAUUGACCUUGUUUAUGAUUAAAAAAUUGUGUUAUUAGAAAUAAUUUGAUCGUGCCUGUACCUUUCAUUAAAUUGGUGCUUAGCCAACCAAAUCGAAUCAUACCAAGCCAAAGCUCGAUCGAUGCUCAAUUGACCAAGUCAAAUCAUCUCGAGCCAUAACUCGUACUUGUCGUUGGGUCGGUGUUCAGUCGAUGAAGUCGAAUGCCCAAGCCGUAGCUCGUAUUUGUCAUUAGGUCGGUUCUCGUCCAAUCAAAUGGAAUCAUCUUGAGUCGGAGCUCGUACUUGUCAUUAGAUCGGUGUUGAGCCGACCAAGUUGAAUCAUCUCAAGCCAUAGCUCGUACUAAUCGUUAGAUCGAUAUUCAGCCAACCAAGUCGAAUCAUUUCGAGUCGGAGUUCAUACUUGUUGUUUGAUCGGUGUUCAGCCAAUCAAGUCGAAUCAUUUCGAGCUGUAGCUCAUAGUUGUUGUUAGGUCGGUGUUCAGCCGAUCAAAUCGAAUCAUCCCGGUCGGAGCUAGUUGAUUAUCUAUGUAGUUAGGAUUUGGAGGUUCCAGUCGAAGCUGGGGUGAUCUCAAUUGAUCUUCUUUAGUUGCUUGGAUGGAUCUAGAUCCUUAGUUGAUUUUCUACUCUCCUUGCUACUGAUGUUUGGCUCACUAGGUCUUUAAUUCAACUCAUUUUUUAUAUGAAGAGCGAUUCGUAGAGAUCUUUCAUGUUGAAUGAGGUCGGUGUCAAUUGGAUUGCUCUGAGUUCAUAGUAGCUCGAUGUGGUUUGGGAU
Molecule: long non-coding RNA, 885 nt
Filed under: Elaeis guineensis (African oil palm)
Lineage: Eukaryota; Viridiplantae; Streptophyta; Magnoliopsida; Arecales; Arecaceae
Description: long non-coding RNA (EGUI_LNC072090)
Source: RNAcentral